Molecule: ribosomal RNA, 253 nt
Filed under: uncultured bacterium
Lineage: Bacteria
Description: partial 16S ribosomal RNA
Rfam family: Archaeal small subunit ribosomal RNA
Source: RNAcentral
UACCAGCACCCCGAGUGGUCGGGACGAUUAUUGGGCCUAAAGCAUCCGUAGCCGGUUCUACAAGUCUUCCGUUAAAUCCAACUGCUUAACAGAUGGGCUGCGGAGGAUACUAUAAGACUAGGAGGCAGGAGAGGCAAGCGGUACUCAGUGGGUAGGGGUAAAAUCCGUUGAUCCAUUGAAGACCACCAGUGGCGAAGGCGGCUUGCCAGAAUGCGCUCGACGGUGAGGGAUGAAAGCUGGGGGAGCAAACCGG